This 279-nucleotide ribosomal RNA is filed under the name uncultured bacterium. Its description in RNAcentral is "partial 16S ribosomal RNA". It matches the Rfam family "Bacterial small subunit ribosomal RNA", at positions 506 to 784 of the family's 1533-position model. The record is from RNAcentral.
UGCCAGCCGCCGCGGUAAUACGGAGGGGGCGAGCGUUAAUCGGAAUUACUGGGCGUAAAGCGUGCGUAGGUGGUUUGUUAAGUCAGAUGUGAAAUCCCCGGGCUCAACCUUGGAACUGCAUUUAAUACUGCCAGACUUGAGAUCGGAAGAGGAAAGCGGAAUUUCUAGUGUAGAGGUGAAAUUCGUAGAUAUUAGAAGGAACAUCAGAGGCGAAGGCGGCUUUCUGGUCCGAUACUGACGCUGAGGUACGAAAGCGUGGGGAGCAAACAGGAUUAGAUA